CAGCAGCAGCCGCGGGAAUACGUAGGCAGCGAGCGUUGUUCGGAAUUACUGGGCGUAAAGAGUGCGUAGGCGGUGCUCUAAGUCUGUCGUGAAAUCUCCCGGCUUAACUGGGAGGGUGCGGCGGAAACUGGAAUGCUCGAGUAUGGGAGAGGUAAGCGGAAUUCCUGGUGUAGCGGUGAAAUGCGUAGAUAUCAGGAGGGACACCUGUGGUGUAGACAGCUUACUGGACCAUGACUGACGCUGAGGCACGAAAGCGUGGGUAGCAAACAGGAUUAGAUACCCCCGUAGUCCCUGUCUCUUAUAC
Molecule: ribosomal RNA, 304 nt
Filed under: uncultured bacterium
Lineage: Bacteria
Description: partial 16S ribosomal RNA
Rfam family: Bacterial small subunit ribosomal RNA
Source: RNAcentral